CCCCCCCCCCCCCCGUCUGUGCAGGCUCCGCCGACACCGCCGCCGCCUGUUUAUAAAUUAAUUACCCGAAAAGCGGAGGUGGGUCCUGCCCGGGCCGGGUGCCAGCCCGCAGAGCCCAGCCGGCUCGGCCGCCUGCAUCGAUCCCAGCGGGGCCCCUCGCCCCCGCGCCCGCCCGGCGGCCUCGGUUAUUUACAGUCGGCUCCGCGGGCGGGGGCGGCGGCGCAGGGCCGAGAUUGACAGCCCGGCUCCCGGCGCUGCUCCCCGGUGGCCGGCGCCCCCUCCCCCGCGCAGGCCAGCCGAGCGGGCCCCAGGCAGGGCAGGGAAAGCAAUUAAAAAGGAAGAUUUUUAAAUUAUUAACAUUUGGUGAAUUAUUCAGGCUCUCGGUGCCUGACUGCCCUGGGGGACAGUGCCUUGUGUAAGGAGAAGAAAUCCUGCCCCCUUUCCCAGCACUCCUCACCCAACUCCAGCCAGAAAAGCCAAGUUGGGGGCAGCACCGUGGGCUGGGGUCUGCAGGCUAGGGUGCAGCUGGUCAGCUGGUGGGUGGUGAGGUGUGUCGGUGAGAGGCAGGAAGGACAGAGUGAGCACAGGGUGGGGAACUGGGGGGGGGGCAGGGACUGCGCCCCCACCCCCGGGGCUCUGCUGAGCACCAGCCAGCUACGUCCUGCUGGCCACAGCCUAGCCGCUCCCCAUCCUGCCUUCUGGAUGUCCUAGCCCGACUGCCUCCCUCUUCCUGGCGCCUUCCACACAGAGGCCCAGGCUGUCCCCAGGUGAGGUGUCCCGCACACUCUCACGCACUACCCCGAGGGCCCCUACAGUAGGAAGGGCUGCAGCACACCGGCCGGGGCACGGGGCACGAGGAGGUGCUGUGAGCACUGGAGAGGGGGGCAGGCCUGGCUCGUUCCCCACCUUCUACUCUCACGGGGGCUCAUCCCAGACUCAGUCUCCUCAUCUGUGGAUGUGGGUGACUGUGCUGGCAUGUCACACGGAGGGCUGGCCCUGCUGCAGAGUCUGUGGGAGAUGGCGGGGUGGGCUGCAGGGGUAUGCAGGUGGGGGGUCCCCCAGAUCUUCUCAAACAAGUGGGUGCUGGGCAGAGGGAGGGGGGAAUCUCCCUUCAGUGCUCACCCACAAGGCUAAUGGCAGAUCCGCAUCCAGAUCCAGUCUCGUCGUCAGCAGCCCCAGACCCCAGGGCCUCUUGCCAGGCUGAGCAGAGGCCUCCAGGGAUGGCCGGAGCCCAGCACACACGGGCAGACACGGCCGGGGAAGUGCGGCAGCAGCGAGAGGCCAAUCAAUCCCCACUUUACAGCUGACAGAAUGGUGCUAAUAACUUAUCGAUCUCGGCCACCUCGGCAGCCCAAGCCCAGGCCUUGCCCCGAGAGUGACGAGGACCUUACUGCUUGGCGGAAGGGCUCCUACCUCAGUGACCUGGCAGGACAGGGAGCCACGCACCCAGCAGAAGGGCCCCUUGAGGAAGCCACAGCUGGCCCCCAACAGCUUGGGGGCAUCGGGGCCCAGCUGGAAAGGGGUGGCAGUGGCCUUGACCCCUUCAAGCCCACCCCAGAAGUAGCCACGGUGGGACCACUGCCUUGGCCUCCUGUCUGCCUGGCUGGCCUGGAUUAGCACAAUUACCAUCCCAUGGAGCCCCAGGGGACAGCCGGCCUCCCUGGCUGUUGGCCAAGGCUGC
Mustela lutreola (European mink) is the source of this 1681-nucleotide long non-coding RNA. RefSeq lists it as uncharacterized. Lineage: Eukaryota; Metazoa; Chordata; Mammalia; Carnivora; Mustelidae. The record is from RefSeq and is a predicted model, not a curated record. The transcript is spliced from 3 exons.